AGUAUCUAGUCAACUUCACCCUCCCUUAUCCACCAGGAAAGGCAGGGCGAUGAGGGUGGAGUGGAUUCUGAACAGAGAGAAAGUGCUCGGCGGGUAGUCGCCUUUUCCAAUCGGAGUGCCGUGCGCAGGCCGGCUAGCCUAUGGGACUCGGCUGCUAGGGCGAGAGGCGGGCCUCUCAGAAGUAGGAAGUAUUCGUGGGUGUCUGGGUGUUCGACUUGGCGUCCUCCGGGAAAAGGGAAGCGCGAGCCGUGGACAUGCUCAUGGCGCGGAGCGGUGAUCAGGGCAGCUGCAAGAAUAUUUGGCUUCAUUUGUACGCCUUCUCAGGAGGAUAACUGUUGACCUCCAAAAAGUGGAAGUGGCCGGAGAGGUUGAACUUCUCAGAACUUACCCGCGGCUCCUCGUCUAGGAGGCCACACCAGAGCUGAGCCAGUAUCUGUACCUGGAUUUGAAUGCAGAAGAUUGGCCCACAGCCACGAGGACCAUCCAAUACCAGGGUGAGUUUAUAUGAUAAUGAUUUCGCCAGUCUUUCCUCAGCAGGACUUAAUGCCUUUUUAUUUAUACACUGGGGCAAGGAGAAUAAGCAUUUGAAAGACUGUAGGAUUCAGGUCAGCAUUGACUUUGAUACNGGAGGAUCGAACCCGCAACCGCAUGGUUCUUAAUCGGAUUUGUUAACCACUGUGCCAGGACGGGAACUCCUACACAAAUAUUUUAAAACAUUUUGGUAGCCACAGAAAAUCUCCCUGUGCCCAUUUUGUCCCCAAAUCUGUGCCAGGUUUGCCAUCUGUCCCCCAGGGGCUUUUUUCUCCGAAUCCUCCUUUGCAUCCAAGGUUGAUCGUUGAACUUCAUGGGGGAUAAGGUCUCAGACAGCUGGAUUUUGCAGCCUCCACUCUGCAUCUUAACCACACCCAUGCCCACUCAGAUUCCUAAUUCUUUGUCAGGCGCUCUUAUUCGGAGAGUUUUAAAUGUAAGGACCUGUUCAUUGGAAGGUUGAAAUUGGGGGGUCUGGAUAGGUUAGAGGGGGUGUAGCCAUCAGGCAAUGCCUUUAUUCCUGCCACUGCUUGUAAGUUGGCUCAGAUGGCCAAGCCUGGGCCAGGAGCGACAUCUCCCCUGCAGGGCGUCCUCUCCCAGAAUGGACACAGAUGCUUCAGGAAUGUGUGAGGGGUCAGGGAAGGGGCCAUGAAUCUGAUAGAUGUAUGUAAAAACUACAGAAAGCUGCCACUCCGGUAGAUCAGAUUAUUUUCACAGGUGUAUAUGUUGACAAUUCCAAAACUACUUUAUGUGUAUACUUGAGUUGAACGAAUAAGUAAAUAAAUUAUAUAAAAUGGGAGUCAGGUUUCUUAUUGUUAGAAAAAAAGGCACAAAUAAUCAGGGGUUUUCUAGCAUGACCCUUGUAUAACUCUAUAGUUGGAGACAGUAUGAACUCAUGUUUAGCAUCUCUUGUUUUUGUUUUGUUUUGACUUGUUUCUUUGGCCAUGUCCAUAGCAUGCAAAAGUUCCCGGCCCAGGGAUCAAACCUGUGCCACAGUAAUGACAACGCUGGUUCCCGCCAAGCCACCAGGGAACUCCCAUUUUAACAUCUGUUGAGAGAGAAUAUAGAAGUAGUUAUAUCUGUGUUUAUAUGCAUGAAUUAACAUGCAUACAUUUAUUUCCUAGCUCUGACUACUGACAGGGUCCGGAACCAGGGACACCCGACAACUGAAUAACCCAGUGCCCCAGAUAUGAGUUUCUAAAUUCCAUUGUUCAGGUACAGAAAACAGCAACAACGACACCCUAGGGCACUAGAGGACAGACCAAGGAAAAAUCGUGACUCGAGAGAGUGGACAAACCUGGCAGAUACCACCUUAGCCAAGUGGUCAGUGUUCUCGUCACGUUUUCAAUGCCAUGUACCGGGACAGGGUGCAAUGGAAAAAUACUUCCUCUGUGUGCUCCUCUUCCCGCAGUUGGAGGGCCCCAGUCUAAUCAUGAAAACGCAUCAGCCAAACCUAAGGUUAAAAUCCUAAAACUGGAGAAAGGAAGAGGCGGGCUUUUCCAACCCCUAUUCCCCUUGGAGGAUAAAACUGUAGCACACCAGAUCCUUGGAGCAGAGCUUCCUUGCCUGCCACUUGCAUUUCUCCCAAGAGUCCUAUCCUAAUAAAUCUAUUUCUUG
Molecule: long non-coding RNA, 2145 nt
Filed under: Sus scrofa (pig)
Lineage: Eukaryota; Metazoa; Chordata; Mammalia; Artiodactyla; Suidae
Description: lncRNA (ENSSSCG00040005077.1)
Source: RNAcentral